Molecule: long non-coding RNA, 459 nt
Organism: Populus nigra (black poplar)
Lineage: Eukaryota; Viridiplantae; Streptophyta; Magnoliopsida; Malpighiales; Salicaceae
Exons: 5
Source: RefSeq, a predicted model, not a curated record
GUUGAGAAGAGACAGAGAAUAUGGUUGAAGUAAUAAGAAGAUUUGCAGAGAAGAAUAAUGAAGAGAGGAAUAGAGAAGAGAAACAAUGGGGUCCUCUAUAGAGAUGAGCAUUGCAAGAUUAUGUCCUCCCUCUUCUUCUCCUUCAGAUAGUGCUUCAUCAGUCACAUAAUCUGUUAACCAGGUAUGUGAGCAUAAGCCACACAUCCAAACACACGGAAACACUCAACACUAGGCUUCAUGUUACUCCAAGCUUCUUCAGGAGUAGUAUUGAGAACAGCUGUGGUGGGGCUUCUAUUUAUCACAUAGAUGGACCAAUUUACAGCCUCUGCCCAGAAUUGCUUUGCUGGCCUAUGCUCAGGAGGUUGUUCUUUAAUUCAGUUUCAUGGAAUCCCAGAUGGCCUUUGAAGUCUCCUUGUUGAGUAUAGUUUCAAUGAUGGUUCUGUCAAUGGCUUGAAAUAG